This 406-nucleotide ribosomal RNA is filed under the name uncultured bacterium. Its description in RNAcentral is "partial 16S ribosomal RNA". It matches the Rfam family "Bacterial small subunit ribosomal RNA", at positions 29 to 526 of the family's 1533-position model. The record is from RNAcentral.
AUUGAACGCUGGCGGCAGGCCUAACACAUGCAAGUCGAGCGAGCGGCGGACGGGUGAGUAAUGUCUGGGAAACUGCCUGAUGGAGGGGGAUAACUACUGGAAACGGUAGCUAAUACCGCAUACCAUCAGAUGUGCCCAGAUGGGAUUAGCUAGUAGGUGGGGUAACGGCUCACCUAGGGGACGCUCCCUCGCUGGUCUGGGAGGAUGACCAGCGACACUGGAACUGAGACACGGUCCAAAGUCCUACGGGAGGCAGCAGUGGGGAGUAGUGCACAAGGGGCGCAAGCCUGAUGCAGCCAUGCCGAGUGUGUGAAGAAGGCCUUCGGGUUGUAAAGCACUUUCAGCGGGGAGGCGUUACCCGCAGAAGAAGCACCGGCUAACUCCGUGCCAGCAGCCGCGGUAAUUC